RNAcentral lists this ribosomal RNA (378 nucleotides) under uncultured bacterium. RNAcentral's name for it is "bacterial SSU rRNA". It matches the Rfam family "Archaeal small subunit ribosomal RNA", at positions 339 to 717 of the family's 1478-position model. The record is from RNAcentral.
GCGCGAAAACUUUACAAUGCUGGCAACAGCGAUAAGAGAACCUCGAGUGCCAGGUUACAAAUCUGGCUGUCGAGAUGCCUAAAAAGCAUUUCAUAGCAAGGGCCGGGCAAGACCGGUGCCAGCCGCCGCGGUAACACCGGCGGCUCGAGUGGUAACCGUUAUUAUUGGGUCUAAAGGGUCUGUAGCCGGCCGGAUAAGUCUCUUGAGAAAUCUGGCAGCUUAACUGUCAGGCUUUCAGGAGAUACUGUCUGGCUCGAGGCCGGGAGAGGUGAGAGGUACUUCAGGGGUAGGGGUGAAAUCUAGUAAUCCUUGAAGGACCACCAGUGGCGAAGGCGUCUCACCAGAACGGACCUGACGGCAAGGGACGAAAGCUAGGGG